Molecule: ribosomal RNA, 1181 nt
Filed under: uncultured Prochlorococcus sp.
Lineage: Bacteria; Bacillati; Cyanobacteriota; Cyanophyceae; Synechococcales; Prochlorococcaceae
Description: bacterial SSU rRNA
Rfam family: Bacterial small subunit ribosomal RNA
Source: RNAcentral
ACACAUGCAAGUCGAACGAACCUUCGGGUUAGUGGCGGACGGGUGAGUAACGCGUGAGAAUCUGCCCUCAGGAGGGGGAUAACGGUUGGAAACGACCGCUAAUACCCCAUAUGCCUAUUGGUGAAAUGAAUUUCGCCUGAGGAUGAGCUCGCGUCUGAUUAGCUAGUUGGUGAGGUAAUGGCUCACCAAGGCUUCGAUCAGUAGCUGGUCUGAGAGGAUGAUCAGCCACACUGGGACUGAGACACGGCCCAGACUCCUACGGGAGGCAGCAGUGGGGAAUUUUCCGCAAUGGGCGAAAGCCUGACGGAGCAACGCCGCGUGAGGGACGAAGGCCUCUGGGCUGUAAACCUCUUUUCUCAAGGAAGAAGAUAUGACGGUACUUGAGGAAUAAGCCACGGCUAAUUCCGUGCCAGCAGCCGCGGUAAUACGGGAGUGGCAAGCGUUAUCCGGAAUUAUUGGGCGUAAAGCGUCCGCAGGCGGCUUUUCAAGUCUGCUGUUAAAGAGUGGAGCUUAACUCCAUCAUGGCAGUGGAAACUGAAAGGCUUGAGUAUGGUAGGGGCAGAGGGAAUUCCCGGUGUAGCGGUGAAAUGCGUAGAUAUCGGGAAGAACACCAGUGGCGAAGGCGCUCUGCUGGGCCAUUACUGACGCUCAUGGACGAAAGCCAGGGGAGCGAAAGGGAUUAGAUACCCCUGUAGUCCUGGCCGUAAACGAUGAACACUAGGUGUCGGGGGAAUCGACCCCUUCGGUGUCGUAGCUAACGCGUUAAGUGUUCCGCCUGGGGAGUACGCACGCAAGUGUGAAACUCAAAGGAAUUGACGGGGGCCCGCACAAGCGGUGGAGUAUGUGGUUUAAUUCGAUGCAACGCGAAGAACCUUACCAGGGUUUGACAUCCUGCGAACCUCUUAAAAAUUUGAGGGUGCCUUCGGGAAUGCAGUGACAGGUGGUGCAUGCUGUCGUCAGCUCGUGUGUGAGAUGUGGGUAAGUCCCGCAACGAGCGCACCCACGUUUUAGUGCAGCAUUUAGUGGCACUCUAGAAGACGCGUGAUAACGGAGAGGUGUGAUGACGUCAGUCAUCAUGCCUACACCCUGGCUACCAUCGUACUACAUGCUACGAUACAAGGGCAGCUAACUCGGGAAGCUAGCAAUCAUAACGUGUCAGUCAGAUCGUAAGGCUGCAAUUC